AUUGAACGCUGGCGGCAUGCUUUACACAUGCAAGUCGAACGGUAACAGGCCUUCGGGUGCUGACGAGUGGCGAACGGGUGAGUAAUGCAUCGGAACGUGCCCAGAGGUGGGGGAUAACGCAGCGAAAGCUGUGCUAAUACCGCAUGUGAUCUGAGGAUGAAAGCGGGGGACCAGGCAGCAAUGUUUGGCCUCGCGCCUUUGGAGCGGCCGAUGUCAGAUUAGGUAGUUGGUGGGGUAAAGGCCUACCAAGCCGACGAUCUGUAGCUGGUCUGAGAGGACGACCAGCCACACUGGGACUGAGACACGGCCCAGACUCCUACGGGAGGCAGCAGUGGGGAAUUUUGGACAAUGGGCGCAAGCCUGAUCCAGCAAUGCCGCGUGCGGGAAGAAGGCCUUCGGGUUGUAAACCGCUUUUGUACGGAACGAAAAGGCUCUGGCUAAUACCUGGGGCUGAAGACGGUACCGUAAGAAUAAGCACCGGCUAACUACGUG
This 492-nucleotide ribosomal RNA is filed under the name uncultured bacterium. RNAcentral's name for it is "partial 16S ribosomal RNA". It matches the Rfam family "Bacterial small subunit ribosomal RNA", at positions 30 to 507 of the family's 1533-position model. The record is from RNAcentral.